RNAcentral lists this ribosomal RNA (244 nucleotides) under uncultured bacterium. RNAcentral's name for it is "partial 16S ribosomal RNA". It matches the Rfam family "Bacterial small subunit ribosomal RNA", at positions 96 to 339 of the family's 1533-position model. The record is from RNAcentral.
CGGCGAACGGGUGCGUAACACGUAUGCAACCUACCUAUAACUGGGGGAUAGCCCGAAGAAAUUCGGAUUAAUACCCUAUAAUAUUUACUACUCGCAUGAGAUGGUAUCUUAAAACUCCGGUGGUUAUAGAUGGGCAUGCGGCCUAUUAGUUUGUUGGUGAGGUAACGGCUCACCAAGACUACGAUAGGUAGGGGUUCUGAGAGGAUGAUCCCCCACACUGGUACUGAGACACGGACCAGACUCC